Molecule: ribosomal RNA, 253 nt
Filed under: uncultured bacterium
Lineage: Bacteria
Description: partial 16S ribosomal RNA
Rfam family: Bacterial small subunit ribosomal RNA
Source: RNAcentral
UACGUAGGGGGCAAGCGUUGUCCGGAAUCAUUGGGCGUAAAGAGCGCGUAGGCGGCCCUGUAAGUCCGCUGUGAAAGUCAAGGGCUCAACCCUUGGAUGCCGGUGGAUACUGCAGGGCUAGAGUCCGGAAGAGGCGAGUGGAAUUCCUGGUGUAGCGGUGAAAUGCGCAGAUAUCAGGAGGAACACCGAUGGCGAAGGCAGCUCGCUGGGACGGUACUGACGCUGAGGCGCGAAAGCGUUGGGAGCAAACAGG